AUGCAUCCAUCCUGUAGUUGUCAAGAUGAAUCUGCUGUAGCCAUUACUUUGUUGGUAAAACUGGGAGGCUUUAAGAAAACACUGUCAAGUGAUUAUGAAAAAAAAAAUGUAUUCGACUGUUCUGCCCCUGCCAGGCUUGUGAGCACAACAGUUGGAGAAGAAACAAAGUGGAGACAGGAGCUGCCAAGCGAUGCCUGCUGCGAGCGGGAGGCCUUUUCUGGAUUGCUAACAACAGGGACCACGAUCAGGAAACUGGUCACUAAGCCUGUGCCUGCGUCCAGGAUGCGGCAGCCUCCUGCUUGGAUUUUGAACAGCAAUGUUAUACCUAGGCUCCAGUUUCUCCCUCCUGCUUUUCGCAGAGGUUCUAUGCUCACAGGAAAUGAGAGCAGAAAUCCAGUGAGGAGGACAGAUGCCUCAGAUACAGAGGAACUUGAGUUAAUGGGGUCAACAGCUACUUUAAUGGAGGCAAAGGUCCUAUUGUUCUUCAGCUUUAUAGUUGUACUGCCCAUACCUCCACUACCUCAAGAUUCCCCACUUUGCAUUUUGUCAUGGCAGCAAUAGUUGAUUUGAUCAGAAAAUUUGGGAAGAAGUGACAACAAUGAUGCAGGUCCUUCUGGAUGGAAGCUUGAAAAGCCAUUGAGUGAGUGAUUUGCCAUUUUUUAGUUUGUGCACAGAUGGUAACGGAAGUACUGAAGCAAGGGCUCCCUAAGUGGCUACGUAGAGUAGACUACACCAUCUCAGCUGAACCACACUGAACAGCUACCAUGAAGAAGGAAUAAACAUGUGCGUGUGCACA
RNAcentral lists this long non-coding RNA (796 nucleotides) under Oryctolagus cuniculus (rabbit). RNAcentral describes it as "lncRNA (ENSOCUG00000034123.1)". The record is from RNAcentral. Lineage: Eukaryota; Metazoa; Chordata; Mammalia; Lagomorpha; Leporidae.